RNAcentral lists this ribosomal RNA (396 nucleotides) under uncultured bacterium. RNAcentral describes it as "partial 16S ribosomal RNA". It matches the Rfam family "Bacterial small subunit ribosomal RNA", at positions 360 to 773 of the family's 1533-position model. The record is from RNAcentral.
AAUUUUGCGCAAUGGAGGGAACUCUGACGCAGCGACGCCGCGUGAGCGACGAAGGCCUUCGGGUCGUAAAGCUCAGUUAUCGGGGAUGAAAAGGACAGUACCCAAAGAGAAAGCCCCGGCUAACUACGUGCCAGCAGCCGCGGUAAUACGUAGGGGGCGAGCGUUUGCCGGAAUUACUGGGUGUAAAGGGCGUGUAGGCGGGGAUGCAAGUUAUCGGUAAAAACCCGGAGCUUAACUUCGGGCUUGCCGGUGAAACUGUGUCUCUUGAGUGCAGGAGAGGGAAGUGGAAUUCCCGGAGUAGCGGUGAAAUGCGUAGAUACCGGGAGGAACACCAGUGGCGAAGGCGGCUUCCUGGCCUGCAACUGACGCUGAGGCGCGAAAGCUGGGGGAGCAAAC